Molecule: ribosomal RNA, 465 nt
Filed under: uncultured Streptococcus sp.
Lineage: Bacteria; Bacillati; Bacillota; Bacilli; Lactobacillales; Streptococcaceae
Description: bacterial SSU rRNA
Rfam family: Bacterial small subunit ribosomal RNA
Source: RNAcentral
CCUACGGGAGGCAGCAGUAGGGAAUCUUCGGCAAUGGACGGAAGUCUGACCGAGCAACGCCGCGUGAGUGAAGAAGGUUUUCGGAUCGUAAAGCUCUGUUGUAAGAGAAGAACGAGUGUGAGAGUGGAAAGUUCACACUGUGACGGUAUCUUACCAGAAAGGGACGGCUAACUACGUGCCAGCAGCCGCGGUAAUACGUAGGUCCCGAGCGUUAUCCGGAUUUAUUGGGCGUAAAGCGAGCGCAGGCGGUUAGAUAAGUCUGAAGUUAAAGGCUGUGGCUUAACCAUAGUACGCUUUGGAAACUGUUUAACUUGAGUGCAAGAGGGGAGAGUGGAAUUCCAUGUGUAGCGGUGAAAUGCGUAGAUAGAUGGAGGAACACCGGUGGCGAAAGCGGCUCUCUGGCUUGUAACUGACGCUGAGGCUCGAAAGCGUGGGGAGCAAACAGGAUUAGAUACCCCUGUAGUC